AUUGAACGCUGGCGGCAGGCCUAACACAUGCAAGUCGAACGAGCGGCGGACGGGUGAGUAGUGUCUGGGAAACUGCCUGAUGGAGCGGGUUGACUACUGGCAACGGUAGCUAAUCCCGCAUACCAUCUGAUGUGCCCAGGUGGGGUUGUCUAGUAGGUGGGGUAACGGCUCACAUGGGCGACGAGCCCUAGCUGGUCUGAGAGGAUGACCAGCCACACUGGAACUGAGACACGGUCCAGACUCCUCAGGGAGGCAGCAGUGGGGAAGAUGGCAUAAUGGGCGCAAUCGUGAUUCAGCCAUUCCGGGGGCGUGAAGAAGGCCUUCGGGUUUUAAAGUACUUUCAGCGGGUAGGCGUGUCCCGCAGAAGAAGCACCGGCUAACUCCGUGCCAGCCGCCGCGGUAAUAC
RNAcentral lists this ribosomal RNA (406 nucleotides) under uncultured bacterium. RNAcentral's name for it is "partial 16S ribosomal RNA". It matches the Rfam family "Bacterial small subunit ribosomal RNA", at positions 30 to 526 of the family's 1533-position model. The record is from RNAcentral.